GUAGCUGCCAGCCUCCACCACAGCCACAGCAACAGAGGAUCUAAGCCGCAUCUUUGACCUACACCAAAGCUCACAGCAACAAUGGAUCUCUAACCCACUGAGCAAGGUCAGGGAUUGAACCAGCGUCUUCAUGGAUACUAGUCGGAUUCCUUACCUCUGAGCCACAGCAGGAAUUCCUGCGUUUCUUCUUUCUACCGUGAGCAUCACAGGAAAACUUCCUGUGCCCUUCUAUUAAGGCAAGCCCAGGUAGCACACGCGGGUACAUCAAGGUGUCAGGACAAGGAGAGGAAAGAGCCCAGCCUCAAAGAAACACAUAAUGAAACUGUAAACGCAGGAGAGGUUCAGAAAUCAUUGCCAGUCUCCAAAAUAUACAAACAACUCAUGCAACUCAACAAAAACAACAACAACAACAACAAAAACCAAUUGAAAAAUGGGCAGAAGACCUAAAUAGACAUUCCCCAAAGAAGACAUAUGGAUGGCCAACAGGCAUAUGAAAACAUGCUCAAUAUCACAAUUAUUAGAGAAAUGCAAGUCAAAACUACAAUGAGGUACCACCUCACGCCAGUCAGAAUGACCAUUAUUAACAAGUCAACAAAUAACAAAUGCUGGAGAGGGUGUGGAGAAAAUGGUACCCUCCUCCACUGUUGGUGGGAAUGUAAAUUGGUACCACUAUGGAAAACAGUAUGGAAGUACCUGAGAAAACUCAGUCUAUAGCUACCAUAUGAUUCAGCAAUUCCACUGCUUGGCAUAUAUCUGAACACAACUUUCACUGAAAAAGAUGCAUCCACCCCUAUGUUUAUAGCACCACUAUUCACAAUAGCCAAGACAUGGAAACCACUUAAAAGUCAAUCAGCAGAUGAAUGGAUUAAGAAGAUGUGGUAUGAUGGAAUAUUACUAAGCCAUAAAAAGGACAAACUAAUGCCAUUUGCGGUGCCAUGGAUGAAUCUAGAGACUCUCAUACUAAGUGAGGAGGAACACUGUCUGCUCAGGGAGGGAGGAAGUCCGAGGCUGCUUUCAUGGAAAAACAAGGUCUUGUAUAAAAGUUGCUGAGAACAAAGACCUCGUGCUUAAGACUGUGGAGGUGACUCCUCUGAGCUGGCAUGGGUGCUGAAUAAACCUUGCUUUUCCUCAUCUCUGAGCGCCGUUUGUCUCCUUCCGCUGCCACAGUUUCUGAACCAAAACUAAGACAGGAUGGUGAGUCACCCGGGACCACCAGGUGUGCAUUCCAGAACAGCUAGCCUGCAAACUAAUCAACCAACAAUACGAGUUAACCCACAUGGGCAAAAACAGCCUUGGAGACCUUACUGGGCCGGUACUAUCUCAUUGCACAUAUCCCCGCACUCUGCUCCUCUGUCUCCCAAUGGUGCAUAACUUGUUUGCAGAAUAAUGCUCGCCAAGGGCCUAGCAGACCAGGUGGGGCACAGCACUGUGGACUGCCCCCAUUUGAGGAUAUGGAAUUGGACUUUACCGAAGUCACCCCAAGCAAGGGCUA
RNAcentral lists this long non-coding RNA (1492 nucleotides) under Sus scrofa (pig). RNAcentral describes it as "lncRNA (ENSSSCG00040055457.1)". Lineage: Eukaryota; Metazoa; Chordata; Mammalia; Artiodactyla; Suidae. The record is from RNAcentral.